GCCCGCCUAGCUCAAUCGGAUAGAGCGUCAGACUUUUACGAAUGUCUGUGAUAGGCAGGGUGUGAUCUGAAGGCUGCGGGUUCGACCCCCGCGGUGGGCU
RNAcentral lists this transfer RNA (100 nucleotides) under Steccherinum ochraceum. It matches the Rfam family "tRNA". Rfam says of the family: Transfer RNA (tRNA) molecules are approximately 80 nucleotides in length. Their secondary structure includes four short double-helical elements and three loops (D, anti-codon, and T loops). Lineage: Eukaryota; Fungi; Basidiomycota; Agaricomycetes; Polyporales; Steccherinaceae. The record is from Rfam by way of RNAcentral.